UUUAGUAUUGGCUCAUCUUCAUGUUGGUCUGUAACCGAUGAUGCAUCGCCUCUUAUCCUGACUCCUCACAACCCCUCCAAUAUAAAUAGUUAGAGUAGCGAAGGAUCUCCAGCGACAGUUCCGCCCGUCGACGUGUUCCUGUUGUUCUAUAACCGAUGACGCAUCGCCUCUUAUCCUUGACUCCCCACUACUCCUCCGCCGGGCCAUCCGCGUCCUCAUGGCCAUUCCUAUCCCCCACCCAAUCUCUUCCCCUUCACGAUCCUUCUUCUCCCCCGCUCUACAAAUAUCUCUCUUCCAUGGUAUGAGCGGCUAUGCUUGAGCGAAGCGACGGAGUAGCGAAGAUUGCGAGGUUUGGUUGGGGACAGAUGGGUGCUCCCUGUGCAGUGACCUUUCCCUCCCUCUCUCUGCACCAGAUUCAUUUCUCUGAUCUUCAAGUCAUUUUUUCCUACAAUCUCCCAUAUCCCCGUGUGUUUAGUCGAGAUGACUGCCGUGGAGACAUGGUCCUUACCUUUCGUCUCUGACUCUAUUCUGGCCAAGGGAGCUCCGACGCCGUUGGGGAGAUUGGUUCUGGUCGGUUCCACCGGAAUCAGACCAGCCACUGGUGCGGCGUCGGGCAGGGGCGCAGGGCUGCAGAUCUGCGACGAGAGGAUGACCUCAAGAAUCUGGACCGUGCUGCUAUCCAGCAACUAGCCGCGGCCAACAUGGGCUACCUCCACAUCGGCUGCACAGCCGCCGGUGCAUGCUGAUCCGGCCACCUGCGCCACAGCAGAACAAUGAGCGACUCCUUAUCCUUCCCACUACUACUGUAUGAGUAUUCAAACUGAAUUCGAGGUGGAGAAAAAACUUGGUACACUGAUUUUUUUUUAUUUCUCAUUUGAGGGCUCUAGGUCAUGUCUAUCCGAAACAUUCAAGUUUGGAGCUUUCGGAUCGUACUUCAGAAAGAACAUUUAGUUACCGCCAAAUUCUUCUCAUGCAUGUACAGAAGAUCGACAAAUGUAAGAUACUCAUUUUGUUGUUAUGUAAUUCAAAAAAUCUGUAAUAUGUGUGAUAUGUAAAUACGGCCAAGAUUGUAAUGACUUUUGUGAACAUCUUAUUGGUUUAGAUGAUUUUACGAAAUUGAAACCUUUCAGCCUAACCACAGGUAUACCCAAAAGUUUAAGUUGUUAUUAAUUAUCAUUUUUAGGUGGUUAUAAGCUGUUAUUAUUUACCUUUUUAGGUGGCUUAAUUUUUUUUUCUAAAUGGUCGAAACAUCAUUUGAUG
Long non-coding RNA from Triticum aestivum (bread wheat), 1260 nucleotides. RefSeq lists it as uncharacterized. The transcript is spliced from 2 exons. Lineage: Eukaryota; Viridiplantae; Streptophyta; Magnoliopsida; Poales; Poaceae. The record is from RefSeq and is a predicted model, not a curated record.